RNAcentral lists this ribosomal RNA (217 nucleotides) under uncultured Atopobium sp. RNAcentral describes it as "partial 16S ribosomal RNA". It matches the Rfam family "Bacterial small subunit ribosomal RNA", at positions 139 to 355 of the family's 1533-position model. Lineage: Bacteria; Bacillati; Actinomycetota; Coriobacteriia; Coriobacteriales; Atopobiaceae. The record is from RNAcentral.
CGGGAUAGCCUCGGGAAACCGAGGUUAAUACCGGAUACUCCAUAUUUGUCGCAUGCGAAUAUGGGAAAAGCUCCGGCGGCAAAGGAUGGGCCCGCGGCCUGUUAGCUAGUUGGUGGGGUAGUGGCCUACCAAGGCAAUGAUGGGUAGCCGGGUUGAGAGAUCGACCGGCCAGAUUGGGACUGAGACACGGCCCAGACUCCUACGGGAGGCAGCAGCA